CCUACGGGAGGCAGCAGUGAGGAAUAUUGGUCAAUGGGCGCGAGCCUGAACCAGCCAAGUAGCGUGAAGGAUGACUGCCCUAUGGGUUGUAAACUUCUUUUAUAAAGGAAUAAAGUUAGGCACGUGUGCCUUUUUGUAUGUACUUUAUGAAUAAGGAUCGGCUAACUCCGUGCCAGCAGCCGCGGUAAUACGGAGGAUCCGAGCGUUAUCCGGAUUUAUUGGGUUUAAAGGGAGCGUAGGUUGGUUGUUAAGUCAGUUGUGAAAGUUUGCGGCUCAACCGUAAAAUUGCAAUUGAUACUGGCAGUCUUGAGUGUAGUUGAGGUAGGCGGAAUGCGUGGUGUAGCGGUGAAAUGCUUAGAUAUCACGCAGAACCCCGAUUGCGAAGGCAGCUUACUAAGCUGUGACUGACAUUGAUGCACGAAAGUGUGGGUAUCAAACAGGAUUAGAUACCCGGGUAGUC
Molecule: ribosomal RNA, 460 nt
Filed under: uncultured bacterium
Lineage: Bacteria
Description: partial 16S ribosomal RNA
Rfam family: Bacterial small subunit ribosomal RNA
Source: RNAcentral